CACGUAGGGCGCGAGCGUUGUCCGGAAUUAUUGGGCGUAAAGAGCUCGUAGGCGGCCUGUUGCGUCCGCUGUGAAAGCCCGGGGCUUAACCCUGGGUCGGCAGUGGAUACGGGCAGGCUAGAGGUAGGUAGGGGAGAAUGGAAUUCCCGGUGUAGCGGUGAAAUGCGUAGAUAUCUGGAGGAACACCGGUGGCGAAGGCGGCAUUCUGGACCGAUAUUGACGCUGAGGAGCGAAAGCCAGGGGAGCAAACAGG
Molecule: ribosomal RNA, 253 nt
Filed under: uncultured prokaryote
Description: partial 16S ribosomal RNA
Rfam family: Bacterial small subunit ribosomal RNA
Source: RNAcentral